UUUUGUGAAAGCAAGGGUGAGUACACAUCAACGUACUCAGCAAAUGUCCCGUUUGGCUGUAGUGAACUAGCUUUAUGUGGGGUUAAGUCAAGCAGUUGCUUUUAGUUGGUCAGGUUAUUAUUACUAGUAGAAAGCCAGGUUUUAGCAUUAACCCAAGUUCUUAACCCAAAGUACCCUUUCCAAACGGAAAGAAUACCACUUACCAUUACCAUAAUCAUAAUAAAAAAAAACCAUCAUCCUCAUCACCACCUGCAAACCAACCAUCUCUGGUCAAAGUAUCUCUAAUCAAAGAGGAUCCCAAGGCCGCUCAUAACCGUGAGCACGACUGAUAUAUCAGUUUCGUUACCCUCUGCAGAGGUCGCACACUUUACCCAUGAGCCGUGAUUCCCGUUUUGCCCGGGGAUCAUCACUCCCCAUUGAUCACUUCCUAGGUGGUCCGGCAGGGUAUCACUACGUAGCCUUUACAAAGAUUCCUUAGAGGUCAUAGCCGCCCGUUAGGUUUCUCCAGUUUGAUAAACACAGUACCUCUCCCCGCAGGAGGGUGACUAACAAAAGCAAAACAAAAGAACCUCGGUACUCAGCCUCGGCAGAGCAAGUACUGUGCCUGGACCCCAUUGACGACACGACGGCGAAGCAACUACACCUCUAGUUCCUCUAAUUAAUUAGCUAAGGGCAUCCCAUUUCACCCUCAUGGUUGCACUGUUAUCCCGGGUGGUCUCUCAACGAACAGGUCCUUACGGAGAGGUACUCGGGAAACAGCCCGAGUCCCCUAAAUGCCACAAGUAUAUCAUCAUAUCCAGAAUAAAAUCAUAGUAUCAUCAUUGUAUCUCAUCAUGUUCAUUGAUUAAAGUAAAGCGCUAGCAUGUAGCUAACCAUAGUGACCCCAAAAGGUAAAUUAAGGACAAGGUAAAUAGAAAGCUAGUAAAUCCUUAGGUUGUUCAUAGUAUGCGGGACAGUGUAUUAUAAAGUAAAUGGGACAUAAUGGGUCAGAGGACACUUGCCUUCACCAAACAAAUGCUCAGGAUCUUCAGCCUCGUAGAACUCGAAGAACCAGAUCACUUGGUCGCCAACCCUUGAUCUUCGAUCCCUCGAAGCUCGGAAACGAAUCGCGAUCUAAUCACAACGCGAAGCGAAGACGAACAAGCACAUGCAAACAAACAUAUAUAAAUGCAUAAGAACAUUACACCAUACAAGAUAAAAUGUUAUAAAAACAUGCAGCAUAAAAUACAGCUCGAUUCUAUGGUCACGCGAGGGAAAGAAAUGUCGAACUCGGAGCGACGGUCGGGAAAAUAUCGUGUUUACGCUAAACAAGUAUUAACGCUAACAAUUAAUUCGACCUUACCAAUUAUAAACUAUAUCCACUAUUUGGUUUGAUUAAUCGGCUACACUAACAACUAUCAAAUAAAUAAGUAAUAUAAUUAGCAUGAGAGAUUCUAAGCCAGGUAAGUUUACUAUGCGCGAAACAGCACGACAGCGCGAAACAACACGACAGCGCGAACGAUGCGUGAAACAGCACGCGACCACAAGCACAUCACGCGCGCAAGCGCGCGCGACAGGCGAGAAAGACUAAAUAGAUGACGCGUUUAUACUAAACAAGAAAUGACUAAUUGGUGUGGGCUACCAUAAUCAAAAUAUUAAACAACACGAGGACAACGUGAAACGGCGCACGAGGGCGAUGGCUACAACGGCGCACGACAGCUCACUCGACCGAGCGAGGGCACGUGUAUGACUAGACGACGAACAACGAACGACGCGCACAAGGGUUGGAUCGAGGGUGCGCAGGUUGCGCAAUGACCACUCCGAACCGGCGACGCCGAGGCUUAGCGCAGGGACAACUUCGCUGGCCGAGGGACGGGGAGGGUAACGACGAGCAGGAGAGCGGGGGGCUUGGCGUCGAGCUCCUAGGGACCGUGCCCCGGUCGGCUGAGCCGCGGACACGUGCACGAAGGGGAGGGCAGGGGCUGCUGACCACCGCGCGCGGGGACACAACCUCGGACUCGCCCGGCGAGGGUGCUGGUCGUCGGUGGGUCGGAGGCGCAGCGACAGUUGCCCGCACGCGCGUGCGCGACCAUGGGUGAGGCAGCAACGACUGGACAUAUGGCGGCGUGCGAGGGGCUCGACAGUGGAGCCUCGCCACCGCAACGGGCUCGAUCGAGGCCGACCAUGGCAAGCGCAGGGAAGGGCAUGGGAGAGGGGGGGGGGGGGUAAGCGACGAGCUUCACCUCCAACGAUGAACACCAGUGGGAGCACGGACGACGACACAUGGAGCUUCGGCGGUCGACGCGACGCGAGCUUCGGACGGGUCGGCAAGGGCCGACCGCGACGCCGCUGCGUUGGGCAGGGAGCCGCGCCGCGCACGGGGCUGCUGCGGCUAGGGCUGGCUGGGUCUGGCCGCCGUGCCACGCUGGCUGAGAGCCGUUGGCUGCGCGCCACGGGCCGCUGGCCGCGUUGGCUGGGAGCGCCGAGCUCACGCGCGCUCGCGCAGGCUGGCCGCGCCGGGGGUGGAGCAGGGGCGGCUGGCCGGGCUGCACCGCCGGCCGUCGCGCCAUGGCCACCGGUCACUGCGCCGGUCUCGCAAGGUCCCCCAAUGGAACUGGUGAGGGAGAAACAAGGGAGAGAUGGGGGAAGAAGGUGGAAUAGUGCGGGCGUGGGGGCGCGCUUGGCGAACGGAGAAGUUCGGGAAGAUGAACAGUGGGCGACGCUCGUUCGAUUGACAGGUGGACCCGGCGGCGCGCGUGGCUGGGGAAUGCGACGGCGCGGGCGCUAGGGUUUAGGGGAGGGGCGCGCUGUGCUGGGUGGGCCGUUGGGCUGGCGCACGGAGGGGGGGAGGUGCGGGUUGGGCCUGCUGGGCCGCGGGCGCGAGGCAGGCCGAGGGGAGGGGUGCGCUGGGCUGCGGGCGCGAGAGGCGAGCCGGGCCAGCCAGGGGGAGGCCAGAGCUGGGUGGGCUGGCAGGGGGGAGGGGAGGAAAAGGUUUUUCUUUUGUUCUUAUUUGAUUUUAUUCUAUUUCCUUUCUUCUUACUAUUUGAAUCUAAACUCCUAAAUUAAAUGAAUGCCCAACGAAAUCACUCCACAAACAAAAUAAUAUAUGCUCCGACAUGAUGCAACAAUCAAAGCACCUCUAGGGUUUUAUUUUAGUAGGCUUACAUAUAUAAAACAAAAUAACUCUCCACUAUUUGGAAAAAAGAUUAAAAAAGAAGGAUAGAAAGAGGGUAACACCUGAAUUUGGUGGAUAUUAGAAAAAGAAAUUUUACACCCCAAAUUCAGGCUGUUACAAAUCUAACCCCCUUAACAGAAUCUCGCCCUCGAGAUUCAAGAAGAGGCUAGCAAGAAAAUGAGAUUGGUUCAUUGAUUUUUCGUAGCUUCUUCUAAGUCAGCUUUGGCUCUGCCAGCUUUAACUUGCCGACUGGUUGCUUUGACCUUCAGAUGCUUGAGAUCGAUUGAUGCAAUUCUUGAGGAUCUCUUGGGCCUAUGGGUUAGGACCCACACACGCUUUCGCUGCGCCACUCUGAUCUUGUUGGUUGAUGUUGAUCACAUUGUCUUCAUUGGGGUUAGCGACUAACCCCCUUAACAGGAGCAUUGAUACGCACUUGAUGAAGAUGCUGCCAACUCUGAUCUUGACUGAUUAUGAGAGGUUGGAGGUUGCCAAAUGGAUAGGUGCAAGAGGAAAGAAUAGCGAGAAAAGGUAAGUAAAGAUGGAUUAGAGAGAGCAGGGAGAGAACCCAACUACUUAACUCUAUGGUACUCAGCUAGUAAACAGAUGCCAUUGUGGACCAAGGGCCACAACACUUCAACACUCAUCACAAAGAAGCAAAUCAGUCAUAACACAAGGACAACCAGCACAAGCAUACAAUAACAAACAUCUCGUUGCUAUACGUUCCUUUUAAUUAAAUGGUGGUCUUUCCUUAAAGGGGAAUAACUACUCUCUAAGUUGUUGGAGGACAAGGAGAAAAACAAGACGGGUAGGAUAGGGACACAAGCACAAUAAGGGGUGGAGUUAAAGCAAGAAUUGUAAUCGACAAGGGAGAAAAUGCAACCAAGGACAGGGUAGGUAAAACAUCAUUCUCUAAUCGAGGUGAGAAAGACGAUAUUUCAAAUGAUAGGCAUAGGAUAAGCAUCAUGGAAAGAUCUAGUGAUGACAAAGGUAAAGGAGGUAACAGACAAAAGCACACCAAAAGAUCGAGUUAAGACAAGAUUUGCAACGUGAUAGAGGAAUAGGGAACGAACAAGAGCAGGGAGGGGUAAGACAACACUCUUGAACUAAAAUGGGCGAGGAAGCUUUAGAAUAUGAGUACAUGAUAAGCAUCAAGGUAAAGAUCGAUGGAUGACAAGGGUUAAGGUGAUAACGGACAACCACACAACAAAGGAUGUAUUUUAGACAGAACUUGCAAGGUGUCAAAGAAUGGGGAGCAGUCAAUGAUGAACUAGAUUAGGCAUCAUCUCCAAACAGGGAUGGAAAAGAGGAGGCUCCCAAGGAUAGGUUCAAUGUAAGCAGGAAGGCAAGGGCAUAGAUAUCACGAGGGUUUUAAAGAUAAUAAUGGUCAAGGGUGUAUGAGAGGAGAUAAUUAGUUCAUACGACAAAGGAUAUAAGUACCAUAAAGGAUGGAGUUAAGAUCGGACCUUCAAAUGGAAAAGGAGAGGAUACGCUCAAGGGCCAGGUGGGUAAAUCACCGCUCUCAAAUUGAGGAAGAAGAGAGGGGAUUUUUAAAGAGCAGGAAUGGAGAUAAAUGUCAAGGUAAGAUCGAUAGAUGACAAAGGAAUGGUGAUAGCAAAUAAAAACACAUCAAAGGAUGGAGUUAGGACAAAACCUGUAAGGUGACAAGGAGUGAAACGAAAUCAAGGGAGAGAUAGGUAGCUCACAACUCACAAACUGGGUUGAAAGAAAGGGGAGGCUUUUAAAGGAUAAGUUCAAGGUAAGCAUUUAGGUAGAAGACAUCAAUAUUGCAAGGGUCAAAGGCGAUAACAGACAAGGGUAUGAGAGAAAAGAUGAAGGCAUUGAAGAGCCAGCGGCACAAGUACAACCCAGAAUGGGGUCACGACAAGACUUGCACAUGGCAAAGAUGAGGUUACGAACAAGGGCGGAACAAGUAAAACACCACUCUCGAACUAAGAUGGGAGAUUAGAGAUUUUAGAUAAUAGACAUAAUGUAAUCACAAGGUAGGAUAGAGUGAUGAGAAGGGUAAAGAAGAUGACAAACAAAACACAACAAAUGAUAGAGUUAAAAAAACUUGCAGGUGACAAAGAAGAGGAUACGACCAAGGGAAAAUAGGUACAGUACAAUGCUCAGAUUGAGAUGGAAAAUAGGAUAUUUUAAAGGCUGAUAUAAGAUAAACAUCAAGGUAAGAUAUAUAGGUGAUAAGGGUAAAGGUGGUAAUGAUGAAAAGCAUAACCAUGGAUAGAGUUAAGGCAAGACUGACAAAGUGGAGAAAACAAGCAAGGGUAAGAUAGGUAAGGUUCCAACAAAAUGGUUGAAGUAAAGAAAAUUAAUUACCAAGUGGAGUUACAAGGAGACAACGAGAUUACCAAGGAUAUGCAAAAUAAAAUGACCGCUCAUGGAUCAUUAAGAAACAAGAGUGGUCAAGGGCACGUUAACUGAAAUGUCUUAAACAGACAUUGGGGUAUGAAAAUAAGCAUACAUAAGAAUAUAAGAGUAUGCAAGAUUCCAAGGAUACGAGCAUACUAAGACCAAGGGCAUAGAAAUUUCCGAAAGAUAACGACUUAACAACAAAAUAAGAAAGGAUCUCAGAAGACAAGAAGGUCAUGGAUACAUAAACUGAACUGUUUAAAUAGGCAACAGAGGUACAAGGGUAAGUAAUUUAGAUCAAGGGAUAAGGGUAUUAAAAAUGUAAGGAUAUGAGCAUGUCAAUAACAAAAUGGAAUAGAGGUCAAAUGGUAGCAAUUUAAUAAUAGAAGGGGAAAGAGUCUCAAAAGACUAAAGGUUAUGGCUAGGGGGCAUCUACAAGGAUGUCGCAAGCAUAAGAGUGAGAUCAGAUCUAAUAGAUUGAGAGAAGUAUAAACCAUAUUAGAAUAAAAUACUUUUCGCAAGGAGGCAUAUAGGAGCAAACAUAGAAUUAGUCGAGGUGACUAAUAUUUUGAAGCAGAAUCAAGGAUGAGGUGAAGUAAUAGUCAAUAAGUCCUUAAAACGGCCAAUGCUACUCCAGGUCAGCGGUCCUACAGUCAACCUGGCUUUGAUACCACUUAUGUCACACCUGGUUUUGAAGGUAGACCGAAUGCGAACCAUGUACGUGCCAGGAUCAGUAAUUCACGUACACGACGAUUACAUAAAUGACUCAUCAUAGCACAAUGCUUCGAAUUACAAUAAAGAGUAAGUAAUAAUAUUACAGACUAGAGCCAUUUACAUAAUAUAAAUCAAAGUACACAGAAUCGAAACGUAGCCAACGUAAACAACCCACCACAGGCAGCUGACUGGGAGAGGUCGCUAGCCUAGUUCUCGAACUCGUCAAAGUCCUGGAACUCCUGGAGAUCCGCCUCGACGCCUUCUUCUUUACCUGAGCAUAGAUUGCACCAAAGGCAACCUGGUGUUUUGUGAAAGCAAGGGUGAGUACACAUCAACGUACUCAGCAAAUGUCCCGUUUGGCUGUAGUGAACUAGCUUUAUGUGGGGUUAAGUCAAGCAGUUGCUUUUAGUUGGUCAGGUUAUUAUUACUAGUAGAAAGCCAGGUUUUAGCAUUAACCCAAGUUCUUAACCCAAAGUACCCUUUCCAAACGGAAAGAAUACCACUUACCAUUACCAUAAUCAUAAUCAAAAAAACCAUCAUCCUCAUCACCACCUGCAAACCAACCAUCUCUGGUCAAAGUAUCUCUAAUCAAAGAGGAUCCCAAGGCCGCUCAUAACCGUGAGCACGACUGAUAUAUCAGUUUCGUUACCCUCUGCAGAGGUCGCACACUUUACCCAUGAGCCGUGAUUCCCGUUUUGCCCGGGGAUCAUGACUCCCCAUUGAUCACUUCCUAGGUGGUCCGGCAGGGUAUCACUACGUAGCCUUUACAAAGAUUCCCUAGAGGUCAUAGCCGCCCGUUAGGUUUCUCCAGUUUGAUAAACACAGUACCUGUCCCCGCAGGAGGGUGACUAACAAAAGCAAAACGAAAGAACCUCGGCACUCAGCCUCGGCAGAGCAAGUACUGUGCCUGGACCCCAUUGACGGCACGACGGCGAAGCAACUACACCUCUAGUUCCUCUAAUUAAUUAGCUAAGGGCAUCCCAUUUCACCCUCAUGGUUGCACUGUUAUCCCGGGUGGUCUCUCAACGAAUAGGUCCUUACGGAGAGGUACUCGGGAAACAGCCCGAGUCCCCUAAAUGCCACAAGUAUAUCAUCAUAUCCAGAAUAAAAUCAUAGUAUCAUCAUUGUAUCUCAUCAUGUUCAUUGAUUAAAGUAAAGCGCUAGCAUGUAGCUAACCAUAGUGACCCCAAAAGGUAAAUCAAGGACAAGGUAAAUAGAAAGCUAGUAAAUCCUUAGGUUAUUCAUAGUAUGCGGGACAAUGUAUUAUAAAGUAAAUGGGACAUAAUGGGUCAGAGAACACUUGCCUU
Molecule: long non-coding RNA, 7542 nt
Filed under: Zea mays
Lineage: Eukaryota; Viridiplantae; Streptophyta; Magnoliopsida; Poales; Poaceae
Description: long non-coding RNA (ZMAY_LNC001829)
Source: RNAcentral